AAUGAACAAAAUACUCCUUUGAAAGACUCAGAUUGUCAGAGUGUCUGGGCCACUCAAGUCGGUUGGGCGUCCGACUCCGGCUCAGGUCAUGAUUUCGGGUUCGUGAGUUCGAGCCCCGCAUUGGGCUCUGUGCUGACAACUCAGAGCCUGGAGCCUGCUUCAGAUUCUGUGUCUCCCUCUCUCUCUGCCCCUCCCCUACUCUCUCGCUCUCUCUCGCUCGCUCUCUCUCAAAGAUAAAUAAACAUUAAAAAAAAAACCCACCUAUACAGUAUCUCUAGAAACACAUCUUAAAAACAUUAGGAUAUCGGAAGAUAAAAGGAUGGAAAAAAGAACCACACUAUAGUAACGUUAGACGAAAUAGACUCUGGAUCAUAUGGUAAUUUCAGUAAAAUUGCUGAAGAGUAAAUAUUUGAUUAACCAGGAAUAAAUAACAGUUUGAAAUUUCUAUGCAUCUAGUAAAACACCUUAAAAUAUAGAAAGCAAAUAUUUCUAGAACUAUCAGGAGAAAUUGGCAAGCUUUACAAUUAUAAUGGGAGAUUUAAAAAUACCUCUCAGAAGAAACAAAAAAGUCAGUAAUAGUAUAGAAGAUUUGAAUAAUCCAAGUAACCAAGUCAACCUAUUGGACAUUACGUAGAACGUAAUGCACAUGAUAAUUGCAAAGUCAAGUCUCUUCAGGGCUUCUGAAACAUUUACAUGGUUUGGCCAUGCGCUAGACCAUAAAGUAAGUGCCAGUAAAUACCAGGGACUGAAAAAGAGUGUGCUCUCUGGCUACAAUUCAGAUAACCAGAAAUCAGCAAUGGAAAGAUACAUAGGAAAUUCCUGUGUUUGGAAAUAAACGUCUCAAUAAACAGUGAGUGAAAGAAGAAGUCAUAUAAUGAAAACUAGAAGGUAGGUUUCAGUUAAGGAAUGAUAAUGAAAACCCUCCACAUCAAAACUUGAGGGAUGCUGUUUAGAGCUUUGUAAACGUAAAUGGAUAGCCUUAAGUUCCUAUGUCAUAAAAAUGAAACAAAAUUAAUGAGCAGUUAAUUAAUGCAAGUUAGAAGAAAAAAUAAUCCAAAAGAAGUACAAGAAGUGUGGAAACUACUGAAAUAACAAAUAUACAAUAAGAAGGAUCAACAAAGCCAAAAGAUUCUUGAAGAAAUAUAAUAAAGUUGAUAAACCCCUGAUGAAACUGACAAAGCGAAAAAAGUGAAAAGACAUAAGAUAAAGAACAGUUUUCAGAAAGGAAAUGUCACUACAAAUCUUACAGUCAUUGAAAAGGUGAGAGGACAUUGCUAAUGACUUCAAUACAAAUUUUUGAUUAAAUGAGCAACUUCCUAGGACAAUUCAACUUAACAAAAACAGACUCUGGAAGAUAUAGAAAGUCUCAGUCGUUUUUGUAUUUAUUAAAGAAAUUGAAUCAUAAACUCUUUCCACAAAAUAAAAUCUAGGCUCAGAUGGCUAUAUUAAUGAAUUCCUCAAACAUUUAAAAGGAAUUAGGAGGAAUAUCAGUUUUAAGUUUUCCAGAGAAGUGAGUAUAGUCAUGAGACCGAAACCAGACCAAUGACAUUACAAGAAUAGAAAAUUACGACAUUACAAGAAUGGAAAAUUACAGACCAAUCUCAUGAACAUGGAUGCAAAAAUUAUUUUAAAGAUAUUAGCAGACUGAGUCUGACAAUUUGUAGAAAGAAUAAUAGCUUAUGGCCAAAGUGACCUUAUUCCAGGAAUGAAAGUUUUAUUUAACAUUUGAAAAUCAGUAUAAUUUACUAUAUGAAUAGGACAAUGGAGAAAAAUUAUCUUAUUAUUUCAGUAGAUGCAGAAGCAGUUGAUAAAAUUCGCCACUCAUGUGAUAAAAUUCUGAACAGACGAGAAGUAGAAUGUCAGAUCUUUUCUUCUUCAUGAGAACUCUCAUGAUCUUGAGAUUUUAUUGUACUUGGAAACUAACAACUUGCCACAAUUUCAUUAAUGCUGGCAAAAGACAUGAGCCUCCUGGGACAGAGACAAAAGAGUUUUUUCCCACAGCAAUAGCAGUAGCCAAGAAUGUUAUUUUCUUGCCUAGUUCUUUGAGCCUCAGUUCUCAUAAAGCAACCCAAUGAGGGCCCGGUGAUGCCUCACAUACAGUGAGUUACAUUACAGGAAGAACCCCGAGCUUAGGGAACCCAGAUAUUUUAUUAUGGGCUACAGGCAAACCUGCCAGACCUUUGUCAUGGAGGGAGACGUCUUUGUUAUGCUGGACAUGUUCGUCUUAAAAGUAAUAAUUUUCAUAUAGGUGUUCAUUACUAAACCGGCUUGUGGAUCUACCUUUAUGACACUAGCUGAGAUGCUUCAUAGCGAAUAGAUUUAACAUCUCACUUAAGUGAUCUGUUCAAGACAUGGCCACAUCUUUACCACGAGGACAAUCUGGUUUUCUCUGUUAAGUGGCCCAUUUCUGCUUUGAUGUAGUAGUAGAGUUUAGUGAUGAUAGAAUUUAAUGGUAAAUGAGUGGUUUUGAUAUUCUUUUUUAUGAUAAAUGAAUUUAGUGACAGUAACUGGUUUAGUAGUAGAGUGUACUGAUAAGUAGCUACAGUAGUGCCCCCUUAUCUGCAGGAAGUACCUUCCAAGAUCCUAGUGGACGCCUGAAACCACACACAGUACCAAACCCUACACGUAUACUGUGUUUUUUCCUAUUCAUACGGACUUAUGAUAAAGUUUACUCUGCAUUAGGCACAGAAAGAGAUUAACAACAAUCUAAUAAUAAAACAAUUAUAACAGUAUGGUGUAAUGAAGGUUAUAUGAAUGUGGUCCUCCUCUCAAAUUAUCCUACCCUGUACCUAGCCUUCUUGUGAUGACGAGACGGUAAAAUGCCCAUGUGAUGAGAUGGAGGGAGGUGAGUGACAUAGGCACUGGGACGUAGCAUGAGGCUGCCACUGACCUGGCAGUGCUUCAGGAGCAUCCUCUGCUCCUGGCCCGUGGUUGACCACACUUGACCACUGGUAAUGAAACCUCGGGAAGUGAGACCGCAGAUGGGGGGGGAGGGGGCCUACUGUCUAUACUGCUCUGGAAUAUCGGAUUUGGCGUAAUCCAUAUGUUUUAUUGUUUAUUUCUCCCUUCUUUUCUUGCCCUAUAUAGAAUUUCCUUGGAAAGCAGGAGUUCCCUCCUACAGAGAAUGUUCUACAACACUUAGGAAAAACACUGUGGUAGUGGCAAGACUGUGGGAUUAAAUAGGCUCAGUUUGAUGGCAUUUUCCACGUGCGAAUUAGCCUACCAGUGUAGUGUCUGUGUGGAAUACACAUGGAGGGGAAGGCUGACCAUCAAGCUACUGGAUUUCAAAAGUCUUGUCUUUUAAGGGAUUUGGGGUUUAUUCCGUAUAGUAAUUUGUCUCCAGGUAUCACCAGAUCAUCCCAAAUGUCUAGCAGGAAUUAGGUUUCAGAAUGUAAAAAAAAAAAAAUUAAAAGGUUUCUUAAAUGAAACUUGAAUCAUUGCUUUUGGCCAUACAUCAAAUUAGUAGAACCUGAGAAUUGUGGAGAUUUCUUCCCAUAUGUUAAAUCACGUGGUCAUUUACAUUAAAAGGCUGCAUUCAAGAAUAAAAAAAAUCAAAUCAAAUCAAAGGCUGCAUUCAGAGUUAACAGCGCAUAAAGUUGAAACAUGGACCAGAUACUCUUUUCAACGUGCUGGUGACAAUAAGAAGCUUACCUCAGGUCAUUUGUUUCCAAAAUGAUUUGACGAAGCGGAGUCCCCUUCUAGAAUACAGAGCAAAUUACGACAUUUGGUUUGGGAAAAUAUAGAAAGGGUCGCUUGAUGUUACGAGUGUCAGGUGUUUUAAAUAAAGAUGUUCUGUUCAGAAACUAAAGGUAAAGCUCAGAUGACGUUCAUAGACCAAAAAGGCUUUCAGCCACGAUCACACGAUCACUGCUGCCAAUAAGCGUGUUGACUCACAUGGUCAUUUGUACUAAAAGGGCUGCUUCAGAUCAUGUGGGCAUCCUCUGCUCACAGUCACCUUUCGUUCCCACUGUAUUGUUGGAACAACAAGGAGCACUUGAGCCAUGUCAACUAGAAUAUGCAAAUAAUUACGCUUGGAGAUCACCAGAGAUCUGGAAUGUUGUAAGACUGUCACCAAAACGUGGGACCAGAAAUUCCGGGUCGGCUCUGCCUGACACCAGUGUUAAUUCUCGUCCACGGAGAUAAUACGUGUAACUGAGAAACUGAGUAGAAUCAAGAGUUUCUUUUUAAAGGAAUAGUUCUCAGCCUGCGUUCUGUGUAUAUGAACUUACAGCUUUUUCACCGUAUCAUCGUUACUUAUUACAAAGUAUUUACCUGGCACAUAGAAUGUUUAAAGAGUGUUAGCUCCUGUGGUCAGCAGCGUAAUGACCCUCCACACUGUCCCGUCCUCACCCCCAAACAUGUGAAUGUGUCACUUGGCAAAGGGGAUUCAGGUUGCAGAAGUAAGAUUGCCACACAGCUGACCUUGAGACUGGAAGAUGAUGCUGGAUUAUCUGGGUGGGCAAAAGAGAAAACCAGAGAAAGAGCCAUUUCUAGAAGCAUCCCUACCUGCUCUUGCUGGCUUUGAAGAUGGAAGAAGGGGGCUGGAGCCGAAGAAUGGGGGUGUGGCCUCUAGACGUUAGAAAAGGCGAGGAAACGGAUUGUCCCCUGGAGCUUCCAGAAGGAAUGUAGGCCUGCCGACAUCUUGAUUUCAGCCUCGUGAGACCUGUGUCCGACCUUGAUCUCCAGAAGUAUAAGAUAAUAAAUUUGUAUUGUUUAAAUCA
Molecule: long non-coding RNA, 4721 nt
Organism: Panthera uncia (snow leopard)
Lineage: Eukaryota; Metazoa; Chordata; Mammalia; Carnivora; Felidae
Exons: 2
Source: RefSeq, a predicted model, not a curated record